Molecule: ribosomal RNA, 433 nt
Filed under: uncultured bacterium
Lineage: Bacteria
Description: partial 16S ribosomal RNA
Rfam family: Bacterial small subunit ribosomal RNA
Source: RNAcentral
AACGAACGCUGGCGGCAGGCCUAACACAUGCAAGUCGAGCGGACCUUUCGGGGUCAGCGGCGGACGGGUGAGUAACGCGUGGGAAUAUGCCCUUCUCUACGGAAUAGUCCUGGGAAACUGGGGGUAAUACCGUAUACGCCCUUUGGGGGAAAGAUUUAUCGGGGUAGGAUUAGCCCGCGUUGGAUUAGGUAGUUGGUAGGGUAAUGGCCUACCAAGCCGACGAUCCAUAGCUGGUUUGAGAGGAUGAUCAGCCACACUGGGACUGAGACACGGCCCAGACUCCUCCGGGAGGCAGCAGUGGGGAAUCUUAGACAAUGGGGGCAACCCUGAUCUAGCCAUGCCGCGUGAGUGAUGAAGGCCUUAGGGUUGUAAAGCGCUUUCAGCUGGGAAGAUAAUGACGGUACCAGCAGAAGAAGCCCCGGCUAACUCCGUG